RNAcentral lists this microRNA precursor (164 nucleotides) under Triticum aestivum (bread wheat). Its description in RNAcentral is "MIR2118 microRNA precursor family". It matches the Rfam family "MIR2118 microRNA precursor family". Lineage: Eukaryota; Viridiplantae; Streptophyta; Magnoliopsida; Poales; Poaceae. RNAcentral also lists the same sequence under 1 other name. The record is from Rfam by way of RNAcentral.
GUAGGGAAAAGGAAGCCAUGAGUAUCUCGGAGCAGUGGGCAUGGGAACAUGGUGGAAAGCCUAGACUUCUCGCCCUCUCAAUUUAGGGGCCACGAUUGUUUUGUGUUUUCCUGAUGACUCACAUGCCUAUUGUUCUUAAGUAUUCCUUCCUUCUUCUAUUGGCU